Molecule: transfer RNA, 76 nt
Filed under: Clostridia bacterium
Lineage: Bacteria; Bacillati; Bacillota; Clostridia
Description: tRNA-Ala
Rfam family: tRNA
About the family: Transfer RNA (tRNA) molecules are approximately 80 nucleotides in length. Their secondary structure includes four short double-helical elements and three loops (D, anti-codon, and T loops).
Source: RNAcentral
GGGGAUAUAGCUCAGCUGGUAGAGCGAUACGUUCGCAUCGUAUAGGUCGUGGGUUCGAGUCCCGUUAUCUCCACCA